GACGAACGCUGGCGGCGGGCUUAACACAUGCAAGUCGAACGGAAAGGCCCUGCGUUUGUGGGGUGCUCGAGGGGCGAACGGGGGAGGAACACGUGAGUAACCUGCCCUUGACUUUGGGAGAACUUCAGGAAACUGGGGCUAAUACCGGAUAGGAGCUCCUGCUGCAGGGUGGGGGUUGGAAAGUUGCGGCGGUUGCGGAUGGACUCGCGGCUGAUCAGCUUGUUGGUGGGGGAGGUGCUGACCAAGGAUUUGAAGGGUAGCCGGCCUGAGAGGGUGACCGGCGACAUUGCGACUGAGAUACGGACCAGACUCCAACGGGAGGCAGCAGUGGGGAAUAUUGCCCAAUGGGAGGAAGCCUGAUGCAGCAACGCCCCGUGCGGGAUGACGGCCUUCGGGUUGUGAACCGCUUUCGCCUGUGACGAAGCGUGAGUGACGGUAAUGGAUAAAGAAGCACCGGCUAACUACGUG
Molecule: ribosomal RNA, 468 nt
Filed under: uncultured bacterium
Lineage: Bacteria
Description: partial 16S ribosomal RNA
Rfam family: Bacterial small subunit ribosomal RNA
Source: RNAcentral